UAUUUUCUUCUGAGAGACAACCCAUGAAGCCAGGCUUGCCGGCCGCCCUUCCUUCAGCCCUCCGUCCUGUUAGAACGUUAUAUGAGAAUGGGCGCUGCCCAUGACUGUUUCGUGGGAGCAGGUGGACGGCUGCGUCUGGCGAGAGUCUCCAGACUAGCUCGACUGUUCCCAAGCUGCGCUUGUCCGGAGCCGGGGCCGCUGAUGCGGGGGGCUCAUUGUUGGACUCAAUGGUGUCUGCUGCUAUUUGGCAUUAGUCUCGUGAUCUGAAACCUGACUUAUUCUGGAAAUUACUAUUUCUUUUCAUUUCUCAUCAUGGAGUCUAA
RNAcentral lists this long non-coding RNA (323 nucleotides) under Homo sapiens (human). RNAcentral's name for it is "HSALNT0183757". Lineage: Eukaryota; Metazoa; Chordata; Mammalia; Primates; Hominidae. The record is from RNAcentral.